UACAGGGGGUGCAAGCGUUGCUCGGAAUUACUGGGCGUAAAGCGUGCGCAGGCGGUCCUGCAAGUCGGGGGUGAAAACCCGGGGCUCAACCCCGGAAUUGCCUCCGAAACUGCCGGACUUGAGUACGAGAGAGGGUUGCGGAAUUCUUGGUGUAGAGGUGAAAUUCGUAGAUAUCAGGAAGAACACCAGUGGCGAAAGCGGCAACCUGGCUCGAUACUGACGCUCAUGCACGAAAGCGUGGGGAGCAAACAGG
RNAcentral lists this ribosomal RNA (253 nucleotides) under uncultured bacterium. Its description in RNAcentral is "partial 16S ribosomal RNA". It matches the Rfam family "Bacterial small subunit ribosomal RNA", at positions 524 to 776 of the family's 1533-position model. The record is from RNAcentral. RNAcentral also lists the same sequence under 1 other name.